GAUGAACGCUGGCGGCGUGCUUAACACAUGCAAGUCGAACGGAAAGGCCCCUGCUUGCUGGGGUACUCGAGUGGCGAACGGGUGAGUAACACGUGGGUGAUCUGCCCUGCACUUUGGGAUAAGCCUGGGAAACUGGGUCUAAUACCGGAUAGGACGUUGGUUUGGAUGCCAUUGUGGAGAGAUUUUGCGGUGUGGGAUGAGCUCGCGGCUUAUCAGCUUGUUGGUGGGGUAUUGGCGUACCAAGGCUUCGACGGGUAGCCGGCCUGAGAGGGUGUACGGCCACAAUGGGACUGAGAUACGGCCCAGACUCCUACGGGAGGCAGCAGUGGGGAAUAUUGCACAAUGGGCGCAAGCCUGAUGCAGCGACGCCGCGUGCGGGAUGACGGCCUUCGGGUUGUAAACUCCUUUCGCUAGUGACGAAGCGCAAGUGACGGUACCUGGAGAAGAAGCACCGGCUAACUACGUG
RNAcentral lists this ribosomal RNA (466 nucleotides) under uncultured bacterium. RNAcentral describes it as "partial 16S ribosomal RNA". It matches the Rfam family "Bacterial small subunit ribosomal RNA", at positions 28 to 507 of the family's 1533-position model. The record is from RNAcentral.